RNAcentral lists this ribosomal RNA (497 nucleotides) under uncultured bacterium. RNAcentral describes it as "partial 16S ribosomal RNA". It matches the Rfam family "Bacterial small subunit ribosomal RNA", at positions 28 to 507 of the family's 1533-position model. The record is from RNAcentral.
GAUGAACGCUGGCGGCGUGCCUAAUACAUGCAAGUCGAGCGAACAGACGAGGAGCUUGCUCCUCUGACGUUAGCGGCGGACGGGUGAGUAACACGUGGAUAACCUACCUAUAAGACUGGGAUAACUUCGGGAAACCGGAGCUAAUACCGGAUAAUAUAUUGAACCGCAUGGUUCAAUAGUGAAAGACGGUUUUGCUGUCACUUAUAGAUGCAUCCGCGCUGCAUUAGCUAGUUGGUAAGGUAACGGCUUACCAAGGCAACGAUGCGUAGCCGACCUGAGAGGGUGAUCGGCCACACUGGAACUGAGACACGGUCCAGACUCCUACGGGAGGCAGCAGUAGGGAAUCUUCCGCAAUGGGCGAAAGCCUGACGGAGCAACGCCGCGUGAGUGAUGAAGGUCUUCGGAUCGUAAAACUCUGUUAUUAGGGAAGAACAAAUGUGUAAGUAACUAUGCACGUCUUGACGGUACCUAAUCAGAAAGCCACGGCUAACUACGUG